UGGUAGCGCGUCUGCCUUGUAAGCGCUAGGCCGCGGGUUCGAUUCCCGCCCGGGGCG
Molecule: transfer RNA, 57 nt
Filed under: Diaphorina citri (Asian citrus psyllid)
Lineage: Eukaryota; Metazoa; Arthropoda; Insecta; Hemiptera; Psyllidae
Rfam family: tRNA
About the family: Transfer RNA (tRNA) molecules are approximately 80 nucleotides in length.
Source: Rfam by way of RNAcentral